GCGCACCCCAGAGUGCCCCAAGCCUUUGGAAUCUGCCUGCUGAGCGGAGCGCGCGAGCGUGGACAGGUCCCGAACUUGGCCGGCGGGCUUUCUUGGCAACUUGCUUUGCGCAGUUCUCCAUGGAACCCUGGACCCACUGUGCUCCCGGAGCCUUACCUUUUUUCUUUCUUUCUUUCUCUCUUUCUUUUUAAAUUUAUGAACUCGAAAUGAAGCGGAAAGCAGAUACACGCGUCAGCAUACUUUGGCGGUGCUUUAGACUUCCAAGGCUUAGCUGAAGGCUCUGCUGUAACUUAAAUUGGCCCUUCUCAUCCAUGGGUACCACUCCUGGGCUGGCUGCUGUUCUCAUGACUGGAAGGGUGCCUUCUGCAUCCGAGUGGACCUGCUCUGCACAGCUGCUCCUCCCUUUGCUGGAUUCAGGACUUCAGCUGGAUCUGGGAGCAAAGCUAACUCAAACUGUGAUUUCCGAAUGGCCAGCGGACAGAUUGCAGCACCAAGUUUAACCUCCAAACAAUUCUCACUGGGAUGUUAUGAUCGUUUGCAGGCUUUCCGCUCCAUGACGCACGGAGGCUUGGCGGCCACUCUUAAAGAGAACUGGGAGGCUUCAGGUUUUUAACCGAUGAGGGUCCCAAAUAAGGAAUAGGUUAUGCAGUGGUAACUUUGAACUUUGGGGAGAAAAAGAAUCUAAUAGAAAAUAUUGAGGAGUAAUAUCCUCAUUUGUUUUGCUGCCAGAACCCGGAUUUCUGGACUUUUCAGUUUUUACAUGGGAAUAGUCAGAAUGAAAAGCCAUUCCAAAGACUCUUUUUCCCAUUUUUGUUGAUUUCUUCAGGUGCCUAGGAGUUGCACUGUUUGAGCCUUUAGUCUAAUUCAUUACCCUAGGUUUCCUUUAAUAAACAGAGAUUAACUGGUCUUCAAAUUAGAAUGAUACACUUCUUUAUUUUAAAAAAGCCAGCAUCUGGAUUAAGUAAGGUUUAGAUUUUCUUUUCUUUCUUCAUUUGAUAAUAUCUAUGAUGAAUUUCUCACAGGCUGGUUUUGCGUGUUUUAAUAUAAUAUUUUCUGAACUCAUUGCUAAGUAUACCCCCUUCUUGCUGGUCUUGCAGCCUCAGGAAACCCAGGCUGUUGUUAACAGUCCUAGAAGCCCCAGUGCAUGUCCUGGCACUUGGCACGGAUCAGUCACAUCAUAAAUGCUUGUGGUAUUCAUUAAUUCACAAGUUCCAAAACAAUUUUCAAAUGUGUAGGAAUCAUUUUAAAUUCUGACUGUGGCUGCCAGAUGCAUAGACCUGCUCCAUGUUAUCCAUAAAAGCUUCUCUGUCUCUAGGAAAAAAAAAACAAAAA
This 1332-nucleotide long non-coding RNA is filed under the name Macaca mulatta (Rhesus monkey). RNAcentral describes it as "lncRNA (ENSMMUG00000056632.1)". Lineage: Eukaryota; Metazoa; Chordata; Mammalia; Primates; Cercopithecidae. The record is from RNAcentral.